This 481-nucleotide ribosomal RNA is filed under the name uncultured bacterium. Its description in RNAcentral is "partial 16S ribosomal RNA". It matches the Rfam family "Bacterial small subunit ribosomal RNA", at positions 30 to 506 of the family's 1533-position model. The record is from RNAcentral.
UGAACGCUGGCGGCAGGCCUAACACAUGCAAGUCGAGCGGAUGAAGGGAGCUUGCUCCUGGAUUCAGCGGCGGACGGGUGAGUAAUGCCUAGGAAUCUGCCUGGUAGUGGGGGAUAACGUCCGGAAACGGGCGCUAAUACCGCAUACGUCCUGAGGGAGAAAGUGGGGGAUCUUCGGACCUCACGCUAUCAGAUGAGCCUAGGUCGGAUUAGCUAGUUGGUGGGGUAAAGGCCUACCAAGGCGACGAUCCGUAACUGGUCUGAGAGGAUGAUCAGUCACACUGGAACUGAGACACGGUCCAGACUCCUACGGGAGGCAGCAGUGGGGAAUAUUGGACAAUGGGCGAAAGCCUGAUCCAGCCAUGCCGCGUGUGUGAAGAAGGUCUUCGGAUUGUAAAGCACUUUAAGUUGGGAGGAAGGGCAGUAAGUUAAUACCUUGCUGUUUUGACGUUACCAACAGAAUAAGCACCGGCUAACUUCGU